This is a long non-coding RNA of Leopardus geoffroyi (Geoffroy's cat), 807 nucleotides long. RefSeq lists it as uncharacterized. The transcript is spliced from 3 exons. NCBI's taxonomy places the organism in Eukaryota, Metazoa, Chordata, Mammalia, Carnivora, Felidae. The record is from RefSeq and is a predicted model, not a curated record.
AUGUGUCUGGCUUUUCCCUUUGUCUCAAACUGGAUCAACUGUUUUUAAUGAUACAGAGACUGACUGUGGGGCAUGUUCUAUUGACAAUGCUUCCUCGUGACACAUUGUCCAGUGUAUGUUUGGAAAGCCUAGUACACGUUUUGUUUCUAUCUUACUUGUAAAUCAGGGAGAGGAAAAAUCUACAAAGAACUUGAAAGGUGCUAAUUUAGUAAAUACUUCAGAAGUUUCAGAAGUAAAUACCCUCUAAUUCCUGAAGAAUUUCCAUUGUACACUUCAGCUUUGAAGAAAAACAAAUCUUCAUGUCUUAGAAUAUUCGAUUUAUAUGUGAUCUACUGAGUGAUCUUGGGAAGAAUUCACUAGAGAGAAUAUUUUGUUCAGGUUCACCUCUCCCUUAAUGAAGUUGAUACCAGCGAAGUGAAAUCGAAAUCUGAAAACAGCCUCUGCAGAAAGAAAUUGCUCAGCUUAAGAUCCAAAGGAAUCUGUCAGCAAAAGGCAACUGGGGGACAACUGUGAUGCACUUAGGUGUGUGAAAGGGGCAAAGGACACCAAAUGGGAAACGCUGAAGAGGAAUAUAGACGUUCGUGAUGGAAUGUGUGGACAAAGACAGAGGCUCUCAGAAGAGAAGCUGGGACUGAAAGAAUGGGAGCAGUGGAAGGGGAGAAGAUGUUAUCAGCUACAGAGGAGAAAGGGAAAUUAGCUGCAGAAGAGUGUCGGAACUACAAGUGAGUUCAGCUCCUACCAGCAGCUCACACGAUGGCCAUUGUAUUACAUUGAAUCUUUGUACAGUGUUUAGAGCCAUGUAGCACA